UGGCAUGUAGCUUAGGUGGUAAAGUGCUUGCCUGGCAUGCAGGGAGUCCUGGCUUCAAUUCCCAGCACCACAU
This 73-nucleotide transfer RNA is filed under the name Cricetulus griseus (Chinese hamster). It matches the Rfam family "tRNA". From Rfam's summary of the family: Transfer RNA (tRNA) molecules are approximately 80 nucleotides in length. The record is from Rfam by way of RNAcentral. Lineage: Eukaryota; Metazoa; Chordata; Mammalia; Rodentia; Cricetidae.